Non-coding RNA from Salvelinus sp. IW2-2015, 103 nucleotides. Lineage: Eukaryota; Metazoa; Chordata; Actinopteri; Salmoniformes; Salmonidae. The record is from RefSeq and is a predicted model, not a curated record.
GAAAGAUAUUAUCAGCAGCUCUGUUCCAGCCAGCACUAACGACACUGACUCUGCGUACUCUGGGGAAGAUCUCCUGAAGACUUGAGUCCUCUCUGCACUUCUG